This 649-nucleotide unclassified non-coding RNA is filed under the name Melitaea cinxia (Glanville fritillary). RNAcentral's name for it is "misc RNA ENSMCXG00005013892.1". Lineage: Eukaryota; Metazoa; Arthropoda; Insecta; Lepidoptera; Nymphalidae. The record is from RNAcentral.
CCGCUUUUGCUUUCUCCCUUUCUUUUUUGUAAUAAAUUCUUUUAUGCCUGAGGUCGCCCUAGAAACGUCGUCGCGGUCAAAAAAUAAUUGAAUGUCUUCUUUUAGUUUCUCAUAUUUAACAUUUCUUUGGUUAAUUUUAUUUAUCUCUCGCACUCGAAAUCUAUUAGUUUCAGAUAAAAUCUUAAGAUCUUUCAAAAUCAGCUUAUUACUAAUGACAGCAUCACUAAAUUCUCUUUUUUCUUUCUUCAAUUUUUUAUUUUUGUAAUUUGCUUCUAACGUAUUCCUCAUUGCUUUGCUUCUUCUACUUUGGUUUUGUCUCUUACUAGUGCUGUUACUUUAGAAUUAGGACUUUGCAGUCGUUUUUUUCAGUCUUAUAAUUAUUUUCGUCUUAUAUUUAUUUUAGAUUCUAAUUGUGAUUUGUAAAUUUAGUUUUUUUUUUGUAUUAUGUAGCGCAUCUUCCUUAAUUUUUUUCAUCUCAAGUUAUUGACUAAUGUUUCGUGUAGAUCGUUAGAUGUAGAUGAUUGUGGCCCAUUUUCACAAAUUGAGUUUUGUCUUCUGGGUGUUUUUUCAAUAUUAUUUCCAUUAUUUUCACUUUUACUGGGACUUUCACUUGUAUAUUUAACUCCUUCCUUCAUUAAUUUCUUUUUUU